RNAcentral lists this ribosomal RNA (734 nucleotides) under uncultured Curtobacterium sp. RNAcentral's name for it is "bacterial SSU rRNA". It matches the Rfam family "Bacterial small subunit ribosomal RNA", at positions 775 to 1506 of the family's 1533-position model. Lineage: Bacteria; Bacillati; Actinomycetota; Actinomycetes; Micrococcales; Microbacteriaceae. The record is from RNAcentral.
GGAUUAGAUACCCUGGUAGUCCACGCCGUAAACGUUGGGCGCUAGAUGUAGGGACCUUUCCACGGUUUCUGUGUCGUAGCUAACGCAUUAAGCGCCCCGCCUGGGGAGUACGGCCGCAAGGCUAAAACUCAAAGGAAUUGACGGGGGCCCGCACAAGCGGCGGAGCAUGCGGAUUAAUUCGAUGCAACGCGAAGAACCUUACCAAGGCUUGACAUACACCGGAAACGGCCAGAGAUGGUCGCCCCCUUGUGGUCGGUGUACAGGUGGUGCAUGGUUGUCGUCAGCUCGUGUCGUGAGAUGUUGGGUUAAGUCCCGCAACGAGCGCAACCCUCGUUCUAUGUUGCCAGCACGUAAUGGUGGGAACUCAUGGGAUACUGCCGGGGUCAACUCGGAGGAAGGUGGGGGUGACGUCAAAUCAUCAUGCCCCUUAUGUCUUGGGCUUCACGCAUGCUACAAUGGCCGGUACGAAGGGCUGCGAUACCGUAAGGUGGAGCGAAUCCCAAAAAGCCGGUCUCAGUUCGGAUUGAGGUCUGCAACUCGACCUCAUGAAGUCGGAGUCGCUAGUAAUCGCAGAUCAGCAACGCUGCGGUGAAUACGUUCCCGGGCCUUGUACACACCGCCCGUCAAGUCAUGAAAGUCGGUAACACCCGAAGCCGGUGGCCUAACCCUUGUGGAGGGAGCCGUCGAAGGUGGGAUCGGUAAUUAGGACUAAGUCGUAACAAGGUAGCCGUAGA